CCUACGGGGGGCUGCAGUGGGGAAUUUUGGACAAUGGGCGCAAGCCUGAUCCAGCCAUUCCGCGUGAGUGAAGAAGGCCUUCGGGUGGUAAAGCUCUUUCGGCCGGGAAGAAAUCGCACGGGUUAAUACCCUGUGUGGAUGACGGUACUGGAAGAAGAAGCACCGGCUAACUACGUGCCAGCAGCCGCGGUAAUACGUAGGGUGCGAGCGUGAGUCGGAAUUACUCGGCGUAAAGUGUGCGCAGGCUGUGAAAUCCCCGGGCUUAACCUGGGAACUGCGGUUGUGACUGCAAGACUUGAGUGCGGCAGAGGGGGGUGGAAUUCCACGUGUAGCAGUGAAAUGCGUAGAGAUGUGGAGGAACACCGAUGGCGAAGGCAGCCCCCUGGGUCGACACUGACGCUCAUGCACGAAAGCGUGGGGAGCAAACAGGAUUAGAUACCCCUGUAGUC
RNAcentral lists this ribosomal RNA (449 nucleotides) under uncultured bacterium. RNAcentral describes it as "partial 16S ribosomal RNA". It matches the Rfam family "Bacterial small subunit ribosomal RNA", at positions 338 to 795 of the family's 1533-position model. The record is from RNAcentral.